This 597-nucleotide long non-coding RNA is filed under the name Homo sapiens (human). RNAcentral describes it as "HSALNT0282476". The record is from RNAcentral. Lineage: Eukaryota; Metazoa; Chordata; Mammalia; Primates; Hominidae.
CCUUCCUAGACUCAGUGCCCAUCUGGGGACCUGGUCAGGGUGGGGUGGGGAGUGGUGUUGCGGUGUAAAGAAUAAUGAAUUAAAGGAAACCUGAGACUCCCUCCUUCUCUAGCUUGGGGGAGUUCCCCUUUCCACCUAGAAAUUCUUCCGUUGCUCUUGCAGACUGAAGAAGCCUGCCCUCUCUGGAGUCUCCCUCACCUUUAUCUUCCUCCCCACUACCUUUCUCUUUUUCUCCUCCUCUAAAGGUCCAGCACCACCAUCACCUACUCCAAGUGACCAUCCCUGACUGCUCCAUCUGAAUGUUGUUUCAUCUGUAUCUCUGCCUUACCACUCCACAGCAUUUAUCAUGAUCUGCAGCUAUCUUUUAUUUCUAUUUGAUUUCUUGUUUCUUGUCUGUCUCUUCCCCUAGAAUGUGGAUUUCACCCCCUAAGGGCAGGAAUUCUUGUCUGUUUUUUUUCCCACUUCUUGAUUCCUAGCCCCUAAAAUAGUACCUGACAAUAAAUGUUGAAAGACAGAGGGGCAGAAGGAAACAAAGAAAUACAGGCUAAAUGACUGAGGGAAUAAAUGAAUGAAUGAAUAUAUACAUGUAAGGCUAAA